GGCGAGGUAGCUCAGUUGGUGAGAGCGCAGGAUUCAUAACCCUGAGGUCGGGAGUUCGAAUCUCCCUCCCGCUA
RNAcentral lists this transfer RNA (74 nucleotides) under Bacteroidia bacterium. Its description in RNAcentral is "tRNA-Met". It matches the Rfam family "tRNA". From Rfam's summary of the family: Transfer RNA (tRNA) molecules are approximately 80 nucleotides in length. Lineage: Bacteria; Pseudomonadati; Bacteroidota; Bacteroidia. The record is from RNAcentral.